GGAUUCAAAAAGAUGCUCGGAAUUAAUAGAAUAUUCUGUAAAGAAAGGCAUUCGAAUUUAUUUAAGCACAAUAAUCAAAAAACUAAGAACCCUAAGCAAGAAAAUUGCAUAAAACAGUGAGGCUCAGAACCCUAGAAGAGAUUUAAGACAUGGAACUCAGAAAAAAAAGGUUUCAAGCACAUAGCAUGUGAGUAAUCACGUAAUACCCAAAAGAAACAGAAGCAUGAUGAUUAAAAAGGAUCACAAACCCUAGCAAAGAUAAAAUUAAAGCAUGGACCCAGGUUAACAAGGAAACAAAACAAACAAGUAAAACACAUAAACACAAACGAACAUAUAGGAUUCAGAAAGAGCAGAAGAAACAAUUUUGAAGAAGGGGGUUAGAAACCCUAACUUGAAAGAGUGGUAACCAUCUGAAGUUUGAAAUAGCCAGAAACACUAAGUAAAAAUAGAGUUAGAAAACAAAAUCAAAUAGAGAGUUGUUUUAAAAGAAUAGAGAUUAAAGAGGUUUGAGUAAAAAUUAGGGUUUGCACACAAAUUAGGAAAAUGAAGAACCUGGCCGUGAAACUCAUAUAUGAUGCCAUAGAAGGAAUCAUCGGACAAAAACAACCAAAGAAAAGCCGGCAACAGACCCAAGUGAAGCUUCAGUGACCGUCUUUCAUGGCGGAUGACUUUGUCUCCGAGCAUCAGAGGUGAGCAACGAUGAUGAGGGUUCCAUGGCGACAAAAGAUCGAGAGAAGUGAGGGAGGGGUAUGGUCGGAGAGGCGAUGAGUUUCAUCAGAGAAGAAGGAGAGAACCAGAAGGUUCUAGAGAGCAAAAAUUCAGAGAGAGAGAGAC
Molecule: long non-coding RNA, 834 nt
Filed under: Nicotiana benthamiana
Lineage: Eukaryota; Viridiplantae; Streptophyta; Magnoliopsida; Solanales; Solanaceae
Description: long non-coding RNA (NBEN_LNC006607)
Source: RNAcentral